This 63-nucleotide transfer RNA is filed under the name Manacus vitellinus (golden-collared manakin). It matches the Rfam family "tRNA", at positions 6 to 65 of the family's 71-position model. Rfam says of the family: Transfer RNA (tRNA) molecules are approximately 80 nucleotides in length. Their secondary structure includes four short double-helical elements and three loops (D, anti-codon, and T loops). The record is from Rfam by way of RNAcentral. Lineage: Eukaryota; Metazoa; Chordata; Aves; Passeriformes; Pipridae.
AUUAGCUCAGUUGGUUAGAGCAUGGUGCUGAUAACACCAAGGCUGUGGGUCUGAUCCCUUUAU